GUAGCCGUUUGUCUCCGGGAUCUGUGCACGAACGGUUGUGUCGAACGCGAUGGGGGGUGUGUGACAUUCCUACAGUCUGUGAUGAUAGGCUAUAUUUCUACAAAUGACUUACUAUUACUAGCGAUUAACAUGACGAAACAACACGAACUAAGCUAACAUUAUAUUUCUACAAAUGACUUACUAUUACUAGCGAUUAACAUGACGAAACAACACGAACUAAGCUAACAUUAGACUAUAAAGAAAACACUUUUGGCGGGUAAAGGGUUAACUGACUUCAAAAAGUCAACACUGUCAAUGGUGAAAUUGUCCAGAUCAUUAGAUUAACAUUAAUCUUUACUCUUUUUCUCGAACAUCUUAUAGAUCCACCCUGGGUACCGUCGUAUUUUAAAAUAAUAAAUACAAGCAAUGGAUACAUUUCUGGAUUUGUCCAGACUCAAAAAGAAUUGGAGAGUCUGCUGGAGGUCCACUCAAGGGCCACACUGACAUCGUUUGUCAAAUGGUCUGAACACAUAAAAGAUGGCACCAAAGAGAGGCAUCUAUGGCAGGUGGAGGAUUUCAAUGAAGACACCCCUCUAUGUGUAAAGAAAAGAAUGGUCCUUGCUUGUCAGCAUGGCAGAGCUCGACAGAAAAAAGAAAAGGAGAAACGUUCAGCAGAGCAUGUAUACACAAAAAAACGUUUUCAUGUCCAAAAUGGGAAGAAGUUGGACUGCCCAGCUAAACUUUUCAUUCGGCAUGUGCUGAGAUAUGACUCAUUCAGUGUGAGAGGGGAUGCCACAAAAUCCCAUAAAGAAGACACUAUGAGAAAUCUUAAGAUAGCACUUCAAAACUCAGAAAACCCACCAACCUCUACAUUCAUUCAUCUAAAAAUUCCUCUAUUGGAAGUUCACAAUCAUACAAUUGGAGCAGGAUCCUGUUUUUCAAGACCGAUCCAUCCAAAACUAAAAAAUCAAAUUCAGGUGAUGGUCGGACAAGGGAUAACUAAUAUAGCUUUCGUGAAGAGAGCCUUGAAGCAGUAUGUGCUAAAUGACUUGUGAGGAGAGAGGAUCCUGGAUGGAGGAGGGGAGAGGAUGCUGGAUGGUGGAUGCAGAGGAGAAAUCAUGGUAGACAG
Molecule: long non-coding RNA, 1108 nt
Organism: Gadus macrocephalus (Pacific cod)
Lineage: Eukaryota; Metazoa; Chordata; Actinopteri; Gadiformes; Gadidae
Exons: 5
Source: RefSeq, a predicted model, not a curated record